UGCAGAAUCCCGUGAACCAUCGAGUCUUUGAACGCAAGUUGCGCCCGAGCCAUUAGGCCGAGGGCACGUCUGCCUGGGCGUC
This 82-nucleotide ribosomal RNA is filed under the name Sanguisorba officinalis var. longifolia. RNAcentral describes it as "partial 5.8S ribosomal RNA". It matches the Rfam family "5.8S ribosomal RNA", at positions 73 to 153 of the family's 154-position model. From Rfam's summary of the family: 5.8S ribosomal RNA (5.8S rRNA) is a component of the large subunit of the eukaryotic ribosome. Lineage: Eukaryota; Viridiplantae; Streptophyta; Magnoliopsida; Rosales; Rosaceae. The record is from RNAcentral.